RNAcentral lists this long non-coding RNA (393 nucleotides) under Cicer arietinum (chickpea). Its description in RNAcentral is "long non-coding RNA (CARI_LNC000310)". The record is from RNAcentral. Lineage: Eukaryota; Viridiplantae; Streptophyta; Magnoliopsida; Fabales; Fabaceae.
GAUUAAAUCCGGUAAAAUCUCCGCUCGCAACGUCACUUCCAAAGUUGGUUCCCUAGCACCGUAGCGUGGUAGUGAACAACUUUCCCUUCUAUCUCUUUGCGAAACGAAGCUUAGAUCUAGAUGAACGGGGAGGUUUGUGUUUGAAGGUUUUGAAAUCCCUAACACCGUUUUUCUUCGUUUUCGAAACAACGAGGAAGUAUGAAGCUGAGAAAUCCUUGCUUUCUUACCCACUAAGCUUUGGGUUUCUAUUCUUGAACAAAAGGAAGAAGGAGGAAGAAGGUGGUCACGCGAGGCAGAGGAAGAAGAUGGAUAUUGUUUUCUUUCUUUCCUUCUCUUUUCCUUUCUUUCUUUUUCCUUCCUUUCUAUUUCUUUUCUUUCUAUUUUCUUUUCUUU